GACGAACGCUGGCGGCGUGCCUAACACAUGCAAGUCGAACGGAGAUACGAUUUCGGUUGUAUCUUAGUGGCGAACGGGUGAGUAACGCGUGAGCGACCUGACCUUUAGAGGGGGAUAACACUUGGAAACAGGUGCUAAUACCGCAUAAGACCACGACCCGACAUCGGGAUGAGGUCAAAGGAGAAAUCCGCUCAAGGAGGGGCUCGCGUCCCAUUAGAUAGAUGGGGGGGUACCGGCCCACCAUGUCGACGAUGGGUAGCCGAGCUGAGAGGCUGAUCGGCCACACUGGAACUGAGACACGGUCCAGACUCCUACGGGAGGCAGCAGUGGGGAAUAUUGGGCAAUGGGCGCAAGCAUGACCCAGCAACGCCGCGUGAGGGAAGAAGGCCUUCGGGCUGUAAACCUCUGUCCUUGGUGACGAAACAAAUGACGGUAGCCAAGGAGGAAGCCCCGGCUAACUACGUGCCAGCCGCCGCCGUAA
RNAcentral lists this ribosomal RNA (481 nucleotides) under uncultured bacterium. RNAcentral describes it as "partial 16S ribosomal RNA". It matches the Rfam family "Bacterial small subunit ribosomal RNA", at positions 28 to 523 of the family's 1533-position model. The record is from RNAcentral.